Molecule: ribosomal RNA, 497 nt
Filed under: uncultured bacterium
Lineage: Bacteria
Description: partial 16S ribosomal RNA
Rfam family: Bacterial small subunit ribosomal RNA
Source: RNAcentral
GAUGAACGCUGGCGGCGUGCCUAAUACAUGCAAGUCGAGCGAACAGACGAGGAGCUUGCUCCUCUGACGUUAGCGGCGGACGGGUGAGUAACACGUGGAUAACCUACCUAUAAGACUGGGAUAACUUCGGGAAACCGGAGCUAAUACCGGAUAAUCUAUUGAACCGCAUGGUUCAAUAGUGAAAGACGGUUUUGCUGUCACUUAUAGAUGGAUCCACGCCGCAUUAGCUAGUUGUUAAGGUAACGGCUUACCAAGGCAACGAUGCGUAGCCGACCUGAGAGGGUGAUAGGCCACACGGGAACUGAGACACGGUCCAGACUCCUACGGGAGGCCGCAGUAGAGAAUCGGCCGCAAUGGGCGAAAGCCUGACAGAGCAACGCCGCGUCGGUGAGGAAGGUCUUCGGAUCGUAAACCUCUGUUAUUAGGGAAGAACAAAUGUGUAAGUAACUAUGCACGUCUUGACGGUACCUAGUCAAAAAGCCACGGCUAACUACGUG